RNAcentral lists this transfer RNA (72 nucleotides) under Dibothriocephalus latus. RNAcentral describes it as "Diphyllobothrium latum tRNA". It matches the Rfam family "tRNA". Rfam says of the family: Transfer RNA (tRNA) molecules are approximately 80 nucleotides in length. Their secondary structure includes four short double-helical elements and three loops (D, anti-codon, and T loops). RNAcentral also lists the same sequence under 1 other name. Lineage: Eukaryota; Metazoa; Platyhelminthes; Cestoda; Diphyllobothriidea; Diphyllobothriidae. The record is from Rfam by way of RNAcentral.
GGCCUGGUGGUCUAGGGGUAUGAUUCUCGCUUCGGGUGCGAGAGGUCCCGGGUUCAAAUCCCGGCCAGGCCC